Aotus nancymaae (Ma's night monkey) is the source of this 298-nucleotide unclassified non-coding RNA. It matches the Rfam family "Metazoan signal recognition particle RNA". Rfam says of the family: The signal recognition particle (SRP) is a universally conserved ribonucleoprotein. It is involved in the co-translational targeting of proteins to membranes. The eukaryotic SRP consists of a 300-nucleotide 7S RNA and six proteins: SRPs 72, 68, 54, 19, 14, and 9. Lineage: Eukaryota; Metazoa; Chordata; Mammalia; Primates; Aotidae. The record is from Ensembl.
GCCAAAGGCAGUGGUGUGCACCUGUAGUCCCAGCUACUCAGGAGGCUGAGGCAGGAGGAUCACUUGAGCUCAGGAGCUCUGAGCUGUAGUACACUGUGCCAGUUGGGUGUCUGAAUUAAGUUUGGUAUCAACGUGGUCACCUCCCAGGAGUGGGGGACCACCAGGUUGCCUGAGAGAGGUGUGAACCUUCCCGGGUCAGAACUGGAGCCGAUCAAGACUCCUAUGCUGAUCAGUAGUAGGAUCCCACCUGUGAAUAGACACUGCACUCCAGCCUGACCAACAGUCAGACCCCAUCUCA